AGUCGAGCGGCAGUUGAGUAGUAAUACUUAACCUAGAGCGGCGCACGGGUGCGUAACGCGUAUGCAACCUACCUUUUACUGGGGGAUAGCCCGGAGAAAUCUGGAUUAAUACCCCAUGGUACCUAGAGGUCGAAUGAUUUUUAGUUUAAAGAUUUAUCGGUAAGAGAUGGGCAUGCGUCUGAUUAGCUAGUUGGCGGGGUAACGGCCCACCAAGGCGACGAUCAGUAGGGGUUCUGAGAGGAAGGUCCCCCACACUGGCACUGAGAUACGGGCCAGACUCCUACGGGAGGCAGCAGUAGGGAAUAUUGGGCAAUGGUCGCAAGACUGACCCAGCCAUGCCGCGUGCAGGAAGACGGCCCUCUGGGUUGUAAACUGCUUUUAUCUGGGAAGAAAAAGUCCAUGCGUGGAAAAUUGCCGGUACCAGAUGAAUAAGCACCGGCUAACUCCGUGCCAGCAGCCGCGGUAAUACGGAGGGUGCAAGCGUUGUCCGGAUUUAUUGGGUUUAAAGGGUGCGUAGGCGGCUGAAUAAGUCAGCGGUGAAAGACUUCGGCUUAACCGGAGCAGUGCCGUUGAUACUGUUUAGCUUGAGUGUUGGAGGGGUACAUGGAAUUGAUGGUGUAGCGGUGAAAUGCAUAGAUACCAUCAGGAACACCGAUAGCGAAGGCAUUGUACUGGCCAACAACUGACGCUGAGGCACGAAAGUGUGGGGAUCGAACAGGAUUAGAUACCCUGGUAGUCCACACCGUAAACGAUGAUUACUCGCUGUUAUGGUGUAAGCUGUAGCGGCCAAGCGAAAGCGUUAAGUAAUCCACCUGGGGAGUACGCCGGCNA
Molecule: ribosomal RNA, 831 nt
Filed under: uncultured Bacteroidota bacterium
Lineage: Bacteria; Pseudomonadati; Bacteroidota
Description: bacterial SSU rRNA
Rfam family: Bacterial small subunit ribosomal RNA
Source: RNAcentral